GUAACGCUCUCUAUUUGUGUUUGAUUUAUUGUAUUCCUCGGUAGACCAGAAAGAAGAGCGUUACAAUAAUCUAGCCUGCUAGUUAUAAAAGUGUGAGUCAGUCUCUCUGUGUUGCUCAGAGAGAGAAAUGGCCUCACUUUGGUGCGGCUGGUUCAAAACGAAGAUUAGUAAAGGUCAUUUCUUUUUGUUUGUUUUCGUCUCUGUAAAACAAGCCAGAAAUCAUCAAUGUCAGAUGUGAGCAGAAGCAUCCUUUUCACUCUCGCUGUUACGAUGGAAUAUUCAACAGCAGAUACACACUCGGUGAGCUUGCCAAACACCCGAGCUAUAGAAAGGACAAAAGUUUUUCCUCUGUGUUGGUGUCUGAAAAAAAAAACUUCCAGCCAAAUCCCUGCUCCUCACACAACAGAACCUCUGAGCCUGCACACCUCUCUGGAGAGCACGCACGGUAUACAGUGACACAAAACAUGCACGACUUCACAUGCAAAAAGGAUGGUGAUGGUGAGGGUUGUAGUGGCAGCGGCGGCGGUGGCGGCGGCGGUGGUGGUGGGGGAGGAGGGACAAAAAGCUCCAAAAAAAGUUUCCCCGAGAUGGCGAGCGAGCCAAAAGACAAAAAUGGAUGUUCUGCAAGGCGGGGUCAUUAAUAACACAGUGACUAGUGAAUGUCGCAGGGAACAAUGGCAUUGUGUAGAGAAGAGAUGACGAAUCCUCCUCUCUUUUCUCUCUCAGACGGCUCUAUCUAUUAAUUAGUUUUAUGUCUUCAUUCAUUAUUUCAUACCGUUCCAACGCCCAGAGUGAUUUUUAAUCGCCCGUGGCAAUACGGUUCACCACGCCAGGUUCAAUACAGUGUUUCAAUGCAAUAAGUUUGUCUCGUAUGGUCACUGGUUUGUAUGUGGACACCAGUAGUUGAAAAGACUUUGAUACAUUUAUUCAAAUAGUGUACUUGUGUUCAGUAUGGAGGUGCUUUGGCGGAGUGUUUCCUAUACGUUUCAGAGUAAAAUGCUGUACUUUUCACUCCACUUUAUCCAUCUGAUAGCUACUACUUAUUUUUCAGAUUAUAUAACGUAAAAAAUUUGAUCAGUUUAUUAAAUGUGACACAGUUCCCCCCUUUACACCUUACAUUAAAACAUGUUUCCCAUCCAGAUUGUAUCUAGAUAUGAUUAAUGUGUCUCCAGUGUUCACAUUCAGAUCUGAUUGAGGUCCGAUCGCUCAAACAAACGAACGCCACUUCCUCCUCUCGUUUGCAUCGCAGUCAGGACCAGUUGUAGCCGUACUCCUAAGCCAUUGCUUCAUAAAUGGCUUGUUUGUUUUUGUGAUAUGAAUUGCCAAGAUUUCGCUUGUAUUCACUUUCUUCGGACCAAAUUGAAACCAGACAUUCAACUCCAUUGACGAGUGUCUUGAAUAUAAUACAACAACAACAAAAACAUUAUCGGUAUCUGUCACUACAGUCGCUUGGGUUAAUUCUGACAUUGACACCAACAUGACAUCAAGCAGAACAAGA
Molecule: long non-coding RNA, 1498 nt
Organism: Sebastes umbrosus (honeycomb rockfish)
Lineage: Eukaryota; Metazoa; Chordata; Actinopteri; Perciformes; Sebastidae
Exons: 3
Source: RefSeq, a predicted model, not a curated record